Molecule: long non-coding RNA, 858 nt
Organism: Haliotis rubra (blacklip abalone)
Lineage: Eukaryota; Metazoa; Mollusca; Gastropoda; Lepetellida; Haliotidae
Exons: 2
Source: RefSeq, a predicted model, not a curated record
AACAGGGAUAAAUCCAGGGAUUGUGUAUUGUGUACAUACAUUUAUAAUUAAUCAUUUUCAUUUUUAUUCUUAUUUCAGGUGAUCCGACAGACGACUUCUCUAUACAUUAUAUAUAUGUUAUAUGUUGUCAAUCCAGUUGCAUCUUGUCUUGGCCUUAACUGUUCAGUUCUGUGUUACAGGGCUGGUUCAUUGUGUAUUUAAGGGUAUCUGGGUCGAUCUACUUUUAUGUCAUUGUCUUUAGUUGUUUUAACAAUAGCCCAGGCUCAGCUUCUCAGUUGAUUGGUGUAAGUUCAAAUAUACUUCUCACCGCCAUGUUACUAAUCAGUUUUGCACCACACUGUGUCUACAUGAGGACUGUUUUAAAGAUUGAGUUUUGAUCUAAGGUUAGUAAUUAUACUGUUUGUAAUAUAUACAUAGCUAAUUAAACCCUAAUAUAAAUAAUUGUAUAACAUAGGCACAAAUAUGUUCAAGAUAAAUCAAAUGUAAAUAUUUACACAGUAUGCUAUUUUACCUGUAUGAAUGUGCGUAUGGUUGGUUUUUGCUAUAUGUUUAUGUUGGCUUGUAGUUCUUGUUUUACAAAUGCUGUAUAUGAUGUAAGAUUGAUCUGUUUCAUCAAUUCUGUAUCUUGUUUGUAACUCCAUAGUGGUAGUUUCAAGUAUGUAUAUAUGUUGGUAUAAUGGUAUUAUUUUAUGUGUUGUCUCAUGGACAAUACCUCUCAUCAGUGUAUCCUGUUUUAUGUAGGAUUAUUGCACGUGUUGGCUGCCCGGCUGCUGGGUGCUUGAGCACACUCCCGUGUCACCCACAGGAGUGUCUACUCCUACUACUUCUUCCACUACGGAAUAAAAGAUAUUGACCUCA